CCUACGGGCCGCAGCAGUGGGGAAUUUCGGACAAUGGGCGCAAGCCUGAUCCAGCAAUGCCGCGUGCAGGAAGAAGGCCUUCGGGUUGUAAACUGCUUUUGUACGGAACGAAACGGCUCUGGUUAAUACCUGGGGCUAAUGACGGUACCGUAAGAAUAAGCACCGGCUAACUACGUGCCAGCAGCCGCGGUAAUACGUAGGGUGCAAGCGUUAAUCGGAAUUACUGGGCGUAAAGCGUGCGCAGGCGGUUUUGUAAGACAGGCGUGAAAUCCCCGGGCUCAACCUGGGAAUGGCGCUUGUGACUGCAAAGCUGGAGUGCGGCAGAGGGGGAUGGAAUUCCGCGUGUAGCAGUGAAAUGCGUAGAUAUGCGGAGGAACACCGAUGGCGAAGGCAAUCCCCUGGGCCUGCACUGACGCUCAUGCACGAAAGCGUGGGGAGCA
This 440-nucleotide ribosomal RNA is filed under the name uncultured bacterium. RNAcentral's name for it is "bacterial SSU rRNA". It matches the Rfam family "Bacterial small subunit ribosomal RNA", at positions 338 to 770 of the family's 1533-position model. The record is from RNAcentral.